AAUUUCUAAUGAAUCAUGCUUCCCACAACAGGAGUCUGAAUGGGGUCCUGCUCAGGUGGAGGCAUCGUUACUGGUGAUGUUCCUACUAAUCAUCUGAUUAAGUUGUCAGAAAGUUCUCAUGUACUCCUUUCCCCUCACAGAAGCACUUCCUAUUCCUG
Orcinus orca (killer whale) is the source of this 158-nucleotide long non-coding RNA. RefSeq lists it as uncharacterized. The record is from RefSeq and is a predicted model, not a curated record. Lineage: Eukaryota; Metazoa; Chordata; Mammalia; Artiodactyla; Delphinidae. The transcript is spliced from 3 exons.